This is a non-coding RNA of Schizosaccharomyces pombe (fission yeast), 297 nucleotides long. Lineage: Eukaryota; Fungi; Ascomycota; Schizosaccharomycetes; Schizosaccharomycetales; Schizosaccharomycetaceae. The record is from the annotation of a GenBank genome assembly.
AGGAUGUUUAUCGUAGAUGGUAAAAUGUUGUAUCAAUAUAAUUAUGAUAUUGAAUACACUAACAUAACCACACAUAUAUGGCUUAUAACUGAAGUCAGGAAAGAAGGUUUGAAUGUAUCAACAUAAUGCAUUGUUAUAAAACUACUAGUAUAGAAGAUUUACACUAAGGAUGGAAAUACGGAGAAUCAUGAAUAUUAUGAAAAGUUGAACUAACGCAGCACAGUAUAGUGUAGUGACUUGUUUCUAACAGAACGAUCAUAUUUACUAGCCACCAAUCUUCGCUAAACAACAUUUACG